AACGAACGCUGGCGGCAGGCCUAACACAUGCAAGUCGAGCGCGCCCUUCGGGGUGAGCGGCGGACGGGUUAGUAACGCGUGGGAAUAUACCCGACACUAAGGAAUAGCCUCUGGAAACGGAGAGUAAUACCUUAUACGCCCUUCGGGGGAAAGAUUUAUCGGUGACGGAUUAGCCCGCGUUAGAUUAGGUAGUUGGUGGGGUAAUGGCCUACCAAGCCUACGAUCUAUAGCUGGUUUUAGAGGAUGAUCAGCAACACUGGGACUGAGACACGGCCCAGAUUCCUACGGGAGGCAGCAGUGGGGAAUCUUGGACAAUGGGCGCAAGCCUGAUCCAGCCAUGCCGCGUGAGUGAUGAAGGCCUUAGGGUCGUAAAGCUCUUUCGCCAGGGAUGAUAAUGACAGUACCUGGUAAAGAAACCCCGGCUAACUCCGUGCCAGCAGCCGCGGUAAUACGGAGGGGGUUAGCGUUGUUCGGAAUUACUGGGCGUAAAGCGUACGUAGGCGGACCAUUAAGUUGGGGGUGAAAUCCCGGGGCUCAACCCCGGAACUGCCUCCAAAACUGCUGGUCUUGAGUUCGAGAGAGGUGAGUGGAAUUCCGAGUGUAGAGGUGAAAUUCGUAGAUAUUCGGAGGAACACCAGUGGCGAAGGCGGCUCACUGGCUCGAUACUGACGCUGAGGUACGAAAGUGUGGGGAGCAAACAGGAUUAGAUACCCUGGUAGUCCACACCGUAAACGAUGAAUGCCAGUCGUCGGGUAGCAUGCUAUUCGGUGACACACCUAACGGGAUUAGCAUUCCGCCUGGGGAGUACGGUCGCAAGAUUAAACUCAAGGAAUUGACGGGGGCCCGCACAAGCGGUGGAGCAUGUGGUUUAAUUCGAAGCAACGCGCAGACCUUACCAACCCUUGACAUCCUGUGCUACAUCCAGAGAUGGAUGGUUCCCUUCGGGGACGCAGUGACAGGUGCUGCAUGGCUGUCGUCAGCUCGUGUCGUGAGAUGUUCGGUUAAGUCCGGCAACGAGCGCAACCCACAUCCUUAGUUGCCAGCAGUUCGGCUGGGCACUCUAGGGAAACUGCCCGUGAUAAGCGGGAGGAAGGUGUGGAUGACGUCAAGUCCUCAUGGCCCUUACGGGUUGGGCUACACACGUGCUACAAUGGCAGUGACAAUGGGUUAAUCCCAAAAAACUGUCUCAGUUCGGAUUGGGGUCUGCAACUCGACCCCAUGAAGUCGGAAUCGCUAGUAAUCGCGGUAACAGCCAUGACGGCGGUGAAUACGUUCCCGGGCCU
RNAcentral lists this ribosomal RNA (1283 nucleotides) under uncultured bacterium. RNAcentral describes it as "bacterial SSU rRNA". It matches the Rfam family "Bacterial small subunit ribosomal RNA", at positions 28 to 1381 of the family's 1533-position model. The record is from RNAcentral.